RNAcentral lists this ribosomal RNA (517 nucleotides) under uncultured bacterium. Its description in RNAcentral is "bacterial SSU rRNA". It matches the Rfam family "Bacterial small subunit ribosomal RNA", at positions 9 to 518 of the family's 1533-position model. The record is from RNAcentral.
AGAGUUGAUCCUGGCUAGGAUGAACGCUAGCGAUAGGCUUAACACAUGCAAGUCGAGGGGCAGCACGGUGUAGCAAUACACUGGUGGCGACCGGCGUACGGGUGCGUAACACGUAUGCAACCUACCCGCUAUUGGGGGAUAACCCGGCGAAAGUCGGACUAAUACCCCAUAUUAUUCUUACCGGGCAUCCGGUAGGUCUGAAAGAUUUAUCGAUUGCGGAUGGGCAUGCGGAUGAUUAGCUAGUAGGUGGGGUAACGGCUCACCUAGGCGACGAUCAUUAGGGGUUCUGAGAGGAAGGUCCCCCCACACUGGAACUGAGACACGGUCCAGACUCCUACGGGAGGCAGCAGUGAGGAAUAUUGGUCAAUGGGCGCUAGCCUGAACCAGCCAAGUCGCGUGAAGGAUGACAAGAUCUAUGGUUUGUAAACUUCUUUUGCAGGGGAGUAAAGUGCGACACGUGUGUUGUAUUGCAAGUACCCUGCGAAUAAGCAUCGGCUAACUCCGUGCCAGCCGCUGC